Molecule: ribosomal RNA, 490 nt
Filed under: uncultured bacterium
Lineage: Bacteria
Description: partial 16S ribosomal RNA
Rfam family: Bacterial small subunit ribosomal RNA
Source: RNAcentral
AUUGAACGCUGGCGGCAGGCCUAACACAUGCAAGUCGAACGGUAACAGGAAGAAGCUUGCUUCUUUGCUGACGAGUGGCGGACGGGUGAGUAAUGUCUGGGAAACUGCCUGAUGGAGGGGGAUAACUACUGGAAACGGUAGCUAAUACCGCAUAAUGUCGCAAGACCAAAGAGGGGGACCUUCGGGCCUCUUGCCAUCGGAUGUGCCCAGAUGGGAUUAGCUAGUAGGUGGGGUAACGGCUCACCUAGGCGACGAUCCCUAGCUGGUCUGAGAGGAUGACCAGCCACACUGGAACUGAGACACGGUCCAGACUCCAACGGGAGGCAGCAGUGGGGAAUAUUGCACAAAGGGCGCAAGCCUGAUGCAGCUAUGCCGCGUGUAUGAAGAAGGCCUUCGGGUUGUAAAGUACUUUCAGCGAGGAGGAAGGGAGUAAAGUUAAUACCUUUGCUCAUUGACGUUACCCGCAGAAGAAGCACCGGCUAACUCCGUG